This is a non-coding RNA of Delphinapterus leucas (beluga whale), 279 nucleotides long. The record is from RefSeq and is a predicted model, not a curated record. Lineage: Eukaryota; Metazoa; Chordata; Mammalia; Artiodactyla; Monodontidae.
CUUCCUCCUUCCUCUCCUUAAAGCCUAGAGGUAGCGGUCUUUUCCUUAACCUCCUGAUGUUACCCUACGGAUUUAUUUUCACGGCAUUCCGAAGGUUUGCGGGCUUAAGAAAACCCCUGAGGAACACAUCAGCCUACAACUACUACAAGGCGAAAAAUUACAGUGGAACCCGCAGGGCCGAGGAGGGCAUCCCUUUCUGAGAAGCCAUCUGAAGCGCUCCGUGAGCCUGCCCCUGGCUACCGCACCGCGUCCCUAAGGGCAACCGCGAAGACGCUUCAG